This 253-nucleotide ribosomal RNA is filed under the name uncultured bacterium. Its description in RNAcentral is "partial 16S ribosomal RNA". It matches the Rfam family "Bacterial small subunit ribosomal RNA", at positions 524 to 776 of the family's 1533-position model. The record is from RNAcentral.
UACAGAGGGUGCGAGCGUUAAUCGGAUUUACUGGGCGUAAAGGGUGCGUAGGUGGUCACGAAAGUCGGAUGUGAAAGCCCUGGGCUCAACCUGGGAAUGGCAUUUGAUACUGGAUAGCUAGAGUAUGGUAGAGGUGAGUGGAAUUUCAGGUGUAGCGGUGAAAUGCGUAGAGAUCUGAAGGAACAUCAGUGGCGAAGGCGACUCACUGGGCCAUUACUGACACUGAGGUGCGAAAGCGUGGGUAGCAAACAGG